ACUGAGAUGCAUGGAUGCCUGCUCACAAAGGCCAAGUCAAUACUGGUAAAUACAACUGGUGGCUUGAGAGGAUCCAGGCACUUCUGAUGAAUGAGCAAGAGCAUAGGACAGAACUAUUGUGUGAGAAGUCUACCUUUCAGAAUCCCUUGCUUCUGGCCUGAAAAUGAAAGCAUGCAGCUCCUGGUGAAGUGUCAGACACAUCCAACUAUCUUUCAAUUCAGGAUAACUUGCUAAUGCAAGUACUGCCUAUUAUGUGUGAAGAGCCUAUAACCACUUACAAAUGCACCUAUUUCUGGAAGUGGAGACAAAUUUUUCUGACUGGAGAGAUGUGCUCCCAUCUGCAAAUAUUCAGUUUAUCUGCAAAUAUUUCAGUGGCAAAGGUUCUUGCUAUGCUUAGCUGCACGUGUAGAGCUGAAAAAAUCAGAAGAAAUAGAUUGUUACAGAAACCUCAGUUCCUGUCUUUCCUUGUCUGGCUAAGGUGAAAGGAAGAACUCUCUAAAAUUAGUGAAGAUCACCCAAGGAUGGAGAGCCAUUCCUCUUCACUUAAGUGGCUGUGAACAGUGAGAGCUGAACAUGGUGACAGGGGGAAUGUCAGGCACAUAUACAAAUGUUAUAGCUUUGAUUUGCUAUGUGGGCAACUGUAAGUACAUGACACUGUUGGAUGUUGGAAGAGAGAGUCAGGCAGUGGCUAAAAUUUAUAUGAAAAUGUUAAAAAAUAUUUAUUUUUCCUGGACAUGAUCUAAUGUGUUUUUUUUUUUUUGUUGUUGUUGCUUUUGUUUGUUUGUUUGUUUGUUUUGUAAAGAUAGAGAUUGUUUAUGAGGAUUUUUAAUAUUUCAUGUAUUUUUCCAAGAUGUUCUAUUGUCUCUGG
RNAcentral lists this long non-coding RNA (868 nucleotides) under Phasianus colchicus (ring-necked pheasant). RNAcentral's name for it is "lncRNA (ENSPCLG00000000838.1)". The record is from RNAcentral. Lineage: Eukaryota; Metazoa; Chordata; Aves; Galliformes; Phasianidae.